ACCCGUAAUUGAGAAUGUUAGAGAAAAGGGUUCAUGUAUAACGGAGAUAUCUCUAUGAACCCCCAUGGAUACCAACAGGCUGAUAAAAAGAGUGACAGUUGUUGUUUGAUUUAUUAAAUAUGGAUAUGGAUUUAUAAUAUGUGCUAUGUUACCGAUUAUAUAUGAAAUUAUAAUUUAUAUAAUAUUAUUGUUUCUAUGGGUUGUUUUUAUAAAUCUC
This 217-nucleotide long non-coding RNA is filed under the name Carica papaya (papaya). RNAcentral's name for it is "long non-coding RNA (CPAP_LNC008756)". Lineage: Eukaryota; Viridiplantae; Streptophyta; Magnoliopsida; Brassicales; Caricaceae. The record is from RNAcentral.